Molecule: long non-coding RNA, 612 nt
Organism: Tyto alba (common barn owl)
Lineage: Eukaryota; Metazoa; Chordata; Aves; Strigiformes; Tytonidae
Exons: 3
Source: RefSeq, a predicted model, not a curated record
UGCCAUUGUAAAUGGAAAUCGAGUGAUAUAGGAAUAACAGAUAUUCUGGUUUUAUUAUAUUUUAGAUGACUAUAUUUCAUGGACAAGAACACUGAGAUGAAUAACUGAUGAUGCUGAGAAACAUCUGAAAUUCCAUGUAUGAUUCACAGUCUAGAAUUGAACCUCUGCAAAGUUAUAUUUUAAAGUCUUACUGUUCACAGAAAUAGUGUUUCAAGGGUCCUGCCCCACCAAGGAAUACUGCAUUGUUCACUACUGCCUAUUCAAAUUUACAGAACAUGAAGAAUGUACAUGAAAAACAGUUAGACCUGCAGAGGAAUUUACAGAUGUUUAUUUUGUUGAUUCUGCAGAGAGAAAUCCUUCCUUCCCUCAAGAUUCCUAAAAACAAGCGAAGCAAGACUGAGAUGAUUUUCACUUCAAUUAGGGAACUCACUGACUCUUUCACCUUCUUUGGUGUAAGGAAAAAUGACUUAAUUCUUGUAGAAGGAGGGAAAAAUCUUUGAGACUUCUCUGGUUCCUUUUCUGUAUAGCAUUUCUUGCAGGUCUGAACACUGGCAGUUGGAAGAAGGCAAAGACAAUCAGUCCUUUCAUAUAACAGUAGCCUAGUGUGGGUAA